GUCGGGAUUUUCUAGCUGUGUUGAGGACCCAGUGAUGGCCUUUGGCUGUGUUCUGCCUUUUGGUCUGGAUUUUACACAUUCCUCAUUUCCAUUCGCAAUUUUAUUUUACAAGACAUGGUUUAUUCGAUUUAUUUCUGGUUUAUUUCGAUUGUUUUUUCAUAAAUGCUUCGGUUUUUUUUUCGUAUAAAUUGUCUAACAUUUUGUUGAAGGCCGUACGGUGACCAUGAUGGUCAGUUAAUUGGAAUGUAGUGGUCAAUUCGU
RNAcentral lists this long non-coding RNA (261 nucleotides) under Mytilus galloprovincialis (Mediterranean mussel). Lineage: Eukaryota; Metazoa; Mollusca; Bivalvia; Mytilida; Mytilidae. The record is from RNAcentral.